Molecule: ribosomal RNA, 253 nt
Filed under: uncultured bacterium
Lineage: Bacteria
Description: partial 16S ribosomal RNA
Rfam family: Archaeal small subunit ribosomal RNA
Source: RNAcentral
UACCAGCACCCCGAGUGGUCGGGACGUUUAUUGGGCCUAAAGCAUCCGUAGCCGGUUCUACAAGUCUUCCGUUAAAUCCAGCUGCUUAACAGAUGGGCUGCGGAAGAUACAAUGGAGCUAGGAGGCGGGAGAGGCAAGCGGUACUCGAUGGGUAGGGGUAAAAUCCGUUGAUCCAUUGAAGACCACCAGUGGCGAAGGCGGCUUGCCAGAACGCGCUCGACGGUGAGGGAUGAAAGCUGGGGGAGCAAACCGG